GGAUUAGAUACCCUGGUAGUCCUUGCCGUAAACUAUGUAUACUUGGUGUAGCCGGAAUCAACCCUGGCUGUGCCGUAGCUAACGCGAUAAGUAUACCGCCUGGGGAGUACGCUCGCAAGGGUGAAACUCAAAAGAAUUGACGGGGACCCGCACAAGCAGUGGAGCAUGUGGUUUAAUUCGAUGCAACGCGAAGAACCUUACCCAGACUUGACAUACAGUGGAAUUUUGUAGAAAUAUAAAAGCUCUUCGGAGCCGCUGAACAGGUGCUGCAUGGCUGUCGUCAGCUCGUGCCG
Molecule: ribosomal RNA, 293 nt
Filed under: uncultured bacterium
Lineage: Bacteria
Description: partial 16S ribosomal RNA
Rfam family: Bacterial small subunit ribosomal RNA
Source: RNAcentral